RNAcentral lists this ribosomal RNA (277 nucleotides) under uncultured bacterium. RNAcentral describes it as "partial 16S ribosomal RNA". It matches the Rfam family "Bacterial small subunit ribosomal RNA", at positions 28 to 308 of the family's 1533-position model. The record is from RNAcentral.
GACGAACGCUGGCGGCGUGCUUAACACAUGCAAGUCGAGCGACAGUGUUCUUCGGGACAUAUGGAGCGGCGAACGGGUGAGUAACACGUGGGCAACCUGCCCUCAGCUCUGGGAUAACUCCGGGAAACCGGGGCUAAUACCGGAUACGACCACUUCGGGCAUCUGAUGGUGGUGGAAAGUUUUUCGGCUGGGGAUGGGCCCGCGGCCUAUCAGCUUGUUGGUGGGGUGAUGGCCUACCAAGGCGACGACGGGUAGCCGGCCUGAGAGGGCGAUCGGC